AAUUUUUUUUUCAGUUUUGAGGAUUUACUUUUUCUUUACUAUGUAUAUUCCAGGGCUUGAUCCCAGGUCUUGCACGCCUUCAGGGAAUCAGGAUGCCUUCACAUAAUUUUUACAGAUUCCUGGAAUGUUCAUACAUGUCCUGGUUUUUGCUUUUUACCUAUUAUCCUGAGACACUGCCUUUCUUGCAAUAUCUCUCACUGCCCUGUAACUGCUCAUCCUUGUCCUGCUUCAACUAACUCUGAGAACGGAAAUGAGGGCAAAAUCAGACUGUCUUCCUUUUGCACCCUGGAUCAUUUCCUGAAGAGUUUUGAAUUCAACACAAAAGGCAGGAUUUUAGCAGCGGUGGAAUGCAGCACAUGUGGAAAAGGUUGUACCAACGACCCUUAAGUGUUUUUGAACAAGAAGGUGCGAGAUAAGCCUUCUAUCAAGAAGUUUUAGUCAGGGCCAUUUUGACUGACCUGGUUUCUUUUCUUCCUUUCUUUUCUCUGUCUCCCUUUCUUUUUCUCUUUCGUUUCUUUCUUUUUCUUUUUUUCUCUCUUUCUUUCUCUCUUUUUUCUUUCUUACCAGCUCACUAUUUAUUGUUCAUGUUUCUGCUCUAAAUUCUAUCCCUCCUGUCAUGAUUUUAUGGAAAAUUGCAGAAGGUAAAUGAAUACUCUUUUAUCAGUUGCGAUUCAAGCUACUGUUAUUUCCCCAUAGCUCCUAGCAAGUGGCAGAAAUUGUCUUUUGAAGACUUAGAAAAUAAUAGUUUUAAAAUGUAUUAUGAUUUGUUUCUUGAAAAUAAAAGUAGUCUGAACAAUCAAGUAUAUUGAUUUUUAAAAAGGCCUGAAAGAUUGGCUAUUUAAAGGUUUCAUUUUAUAUAUGGGGGAACUAAGACUCAGAAAAGAUUUUGAAUUUGCCCAAGGCUAUAUAAAUAAUUGUAACCAAUACCUACUGAUUCCCAGUUCAGUUUUACCUACCACAGAAUGAAGGAGAAAGGCCUAGAUUUUUUUAAUGAAACUCAUUCUUCUCUUGAUAUUUGUUCUCAAUACAGAAUUAUUCAUAACUGUUAAUGAAAUAAGACCUUUCUAGUAUUCUCUUUUCAAAUCAUGUUUUGAAACUGGAAGUGAAAACUAUGGUGUAUUAAAAGUGAAUGGUUAUGACAGUGCUUUUCAAAAUAUUAAAAGAUCCUGAAAUGUUUUGAAUCAUUUAAGUAAAGUUAAAUUUUGUUUAGCGUAGAAUAUUUUAUUACAUUUCAAUAAUCGGGUAACACAACAUACUUAAUAAAUGCCUACUACUGUGAGUCAGGCACUGGCUCAAUGUCACCAAUCUUUAAAAAAUCCUCUUUAACAGGAAUCAUAGGCCUCAUUUUACAAACUGGAAAAAUGAGAAUUAAAGUUUUAGCAAUUUGCUUUAAGACAUAAAAAUAAGUGAUUGUGCUGGGAUUCAAA
Long non-coding RNA from Callithrix jacchus (white-tufted-ear marmoset), 1427 nucleotides. The record is from Ensembl. NCBI's taxonomy places the organism in Eukaryota, Metazoa, Chordata, Mammalia, Primates, Cebidae.